GAGCCUGAGAAACGGCUACCACAUCCAAGGAAGGCAGCAGGCGCGUAAAUUGCCCAAUGCUAACACAGUGAGGCAGCGAAAAACAAUAACGGUAGCGGGGCUUUCUAGUUUUGCUAACCGGAAUGAGUACAAUUUAAAUACCUUAACGAGUAUCAAUUGGAGGGCAAGUCUGGUGC
Molecule: ribosomal RNA, 176 nt
Filed under: uncultured eukaryote
Lineage: Eukaryota
Description: partial 18S ribosomal RNA
Rfam family: Eukaryotic small subunit ribosomal RNA
Source: RNAcentral